CGGUUAGGGUGUCGAGUAGAGUUUGGGAGUCGACUGAAGAGAGGUUUAAAUACCUCUCUUUAAUCGAACUGAGUUGUACGAUCUGGGGAGACGUGGAGGCACACGGAUCAUCCGAUUAUGCAUGUUUAGAAAAUCUAUCUAGGUUGUUCGAUCUGAAGAGCAUCCGAUCGAGUCUGUUUAGGAAAUCGAUCUAAGUCGUUCGCAUGCGCAGGAGCGGUCCUGAUAUGUCCGAUCGGCCUAUCACGCGGAUUGCUAGUGUGGGCUUUUCGUGUGGAGCCCGUGUCGAUGUGACACAUCUCGAUUUAUCGUGCUGUUGAUA
Molecule: long non-coding RNA, 319 nt
Filed under: Carica papaya (papaya)
Lineage: Eukaryota; Viridiplantae; Streptophyta; Magnoliopsida; Brassicales; Caricaceae
Description: long non-coding RNA (CPAP_LNC010290)
Source: RNAcentral